AUGAUUGAUAGGAGCAAAAGAAGAAUUUCCAAAAUUGAUUUGGAGAAGCUUCCGUGUUAUGAUUAUGUUGUUAAAGAAAAUACAAGUAACACUUUGGAUUGUGCAAUUUGUUUGGAGAAUUUUACUAUUGGAGAUAAGUGUAGAUUGUUGCCUAUUUGUAAGCAUAGUUUUCAUGCUCAAUGUGUGGAUAAAUGGCUUUUGGAGAAUUCCAUUUGUCCAAUUUGUAGAUCUAGGGUUUGUUCUCAUGGUGCAAAAAAAGUUGAUACAUAUGUAACAAUGGAAGAAGAAGAAGAAUAG
Vicia faba (fava bean) is the source of this 297-nucleotide non-coding RNA. The record is from the annotation of a GenBank genome assembly. NCBI's taxonomy places the organism in Eukaryota, Viridiplantae, Streptophyta, Magnoliopsida, Fabales, Fabaceae.